RNAcentral lists this ribosomal RNA (774 nucleotides) under uncultured Neocallimastigales. Its description in RNAcentral is "partial large subunit ribosomal RNA". It matches the Rfam family "Eukaryotic large subunit ribosomal RNA", at positions 22 to 637 of the family's 3401-position model. Lineage: Eukaryota; Fungi; Neocallimastigomycota; Neocallimastigomycetes; Neocallimastigales. The record is from RNAcentral.
UAGAUGCGAGAGUAGAGCAUAUCAAUAAGCGGAGGAAAAGAAACUAACAAGGAUUCCCUUAGUAACGGCGAGUGAAGCGGGAAGAGCUCAAAUUUGAAAUCUUCAAGGUUCUACCUUGACGAAUUGUAGUUUAAAGAAGUGUUUUCUGUUAGAUGAGUAGCAAAAGUUCCUUGGAAUGGGACAUCAUAGAGGGUGAGAAUCCCGUAUUUAGUUAUUCAUUCUAGCUUUGUGAUACACUUUCAAAGAGUCGGAUUGUUUGGGAAUGCAGUCCAAAAUGGGUGGUAAAUUUCAUCUAAAGCUAAAUAUUGGCGAGAGACCGAUAGCGAACAAGUACCGUGAGGGAAAGAUGAAAAGAACUUUGAAAAGAGAGUUAAACAGUACGUGAAAUUGUCAAAAGGGAAGCGUUUGACACCAGUGUUGUUUUUCCGAAAAUCAAUUACGAAUGGCUUGAUUUUGUGUUGUAUUGACCUUAUCAGCUUUCUGCACUUUUUUCGAGUCUUUCUUAAUGCACUUUUCGGUUAACAAGUCAACAUCAAUUUCUUUUGUUGUAAAAGAGUAUUCGGAAGGUGGCUUUCUUUUCGGAGAAAGUGUUUAUAGCCCUAUACUUCUACAAUCGGAGAGAUUGAGGUCUGCAGCGUAGAUCCUUCGGGGUUAGAUACAUUUGUGCUAAGUUGUAGCUUUUCAUAGACAACUUGUUGACUAUGUUUAGUCAUGCGGCUUACUCGCUUAUGCUAUUUUACCUACGCUUAGGAUGUUGAGCGCAUGUCUCUCUCU